RNAcentral lists this ribosomal RNA (841 nucleotides) under Streptomyces scabiei. RNAcentral describes it as "bacterial SSU rRNA". It matches the Rfam family "Bacterial small subunit ribosomal RNA", at positions 8 to 864 of the family's 1533-position model. Lineage: Bacteria; Bacillati; Actinomycetota; Actinomycetes; Kitasatosporales; Streptomycetaceae. The record is from RNAcentral.
AGAGUUUGAUCCUGGCUCAGGACGAACGCUGGCGGCGUGCUUAACACAUGCAAGUCGAACGAUGAACCACUUCGGUGGGGAUUAGUGGCGAACGGGUGAGUAACACGUGGGCAAUCUGCCCUUCACUCUGGGACAAGCCCUGGAAACGGGGUCUAAUACCGGAUACGACACUCUCGGGCAUCCGAUGAGUGUGGAAAGCUCCGGCGGUGAAGGAUGAGCCCGCGGCCUAUCAGCUUGUUGGUGAGGUAACGGCUCACCAAGGCGACGACGGGUAGCCGGCCUGAGAGGGCGACCGGCCACACUGGGACUGAGACACGGCCCAGACUCCUACGGGAGGCAGCAGUGGGGAAUAUUGCACAAUGGGCGAAAGCCUGAUGCAGCGACGCCGCGUGAGGGAUGACGGCCUUCGGGUUGUAAACCUCUUUCAGCAGGGAAGAAGCGAAAGUGACGGUACCUGCAGAAGAAGCGCCGGCUAACUACGUGCCAGCAGCCGCGGUAAUACGUAGGGCGCGAGCGUUGUCCGGAAUUAUUGGGCGUAAAGAGCUCGUAGGCGGUCUGUCGCGUCGGAUGUGAAAGCCCGGGGCUUAACCCCGGGUCUGCAUUCGAUACGGGCAGACUAGAGUGUGGUAGGGGAGAUCGGAAUUCCUGGUGUAGCGGUGAAAUGCGCAGAUAUCAGGAGGAACACCGGUGGCGAAGGCGGAUCUCUGGGCCAUUACUGACGCUGAGGAGCGAAAGCGUGGGGAGCGAACAGGAUUAGAUACCCUGGUAGUCCACGCCGUAAACGGUGGGAACUAGGUGUUGGCGACAUUCCACGUCGUCGGUGCCGCAGCUAACGCAUAAG